Non-coding RNA from Danio rerio (zebrafish), 74 nucleotides. The record is from Rfam. Lineage: Eukaryota; Metazoa; Chordata; Actinopteri; Cypriniformes; Danionidae.
GGCCGGUUAGCUCAGCUGGUUAGAGCGUGGUGCUAAUAACGCCAAGGUCGCGGGUUCUAUCCCCGUACUGGCCA